UCAUUUGCCCUGUAAUUGAGGGCUAGUAUGAAUGGUUUGACAAGAGUAGUACUGUCUCCACAGAAAUUUUUAGAAUUUAUUAUCUAAGUGAAGAAUCUUAGAUAUAAUUAAAAGACAAGAAGACCCUAUCGAGCUUGAAAUAUAUUUACAAGAUAAAAAAAAUAGUUAAUAUAUUUUCAAUUGUAAAAAAUUUUGGUUGGGGCGACUAAGGANCAAAUAAAGCUUCUUUAUAAUAACUUUAACUUAUGAGUAGUGAUCCGUUAAUUAUAGCGAUUAAAAGAAUUAGUUACCGUAGRGAUAACAGCAUAAUCUUUUUUGAGAGUUCUAAUCGAAAAAAGGGUUUGU
Molecule: ribosomal RNA, 345 nt
Filed under: Neverita delessertiana
Lineage: Eukaryota; Metazoa; Mollusca; Gastropoda; Littorinimorpha; Naticidae
Description: partial 16S ribosomal RNA
Source: RNAcentral